GCCCGGGUGGCUCAGUCGGUUGAGCAUCUGACUUCGGCUCAGGUCAUGGCCUCAUGGUUUGUGGGUUCGAGCCCCGCGUCGGGCU
RNAcentral lists this transfer RNA (85 nucleotides) under Felis catus (domestic cat). It matches the Rfam family "tRNA". Rfam says of the family: Transfer RNA (tRNA) molecules are approximately 80 nucleotides in length. Their secondary structure includes four short double-helical elements and three loops (D, anti-codon, and T loops). The record is from Rfam by way of RNAcentral. Lineage: Eukaryota; Metazoa; Chordata; Mammalia; Carnivora; Felidae.